Molecule: long non-coding RNA, 1519 nt
Organism: Conger conger (European conger)
Lineage: Eukaryota; Metazoa; Chordata; Actinopteri; Anguilliformes; Congridae
Exons: 3
Source: RefSeq, a predicted model, not a curated record
GCUCAGGACUAGGGGUUGUAAAGUGAAAGUGGGGUUACCGAAUAUUUGUUUGCACGUUCUAAAGCAAAGAAAACACGGUUUCAGAGAUAUUGGAGCCUAUUGCUAUGAAUGAUUUGGUGAUGAUUUGAUGGUAGCUACUGUUAAAAGAAUGACCACUCAAUACCAAGCUUUCAAAACGUCAAGAAGAAUCUGUGUUGAAACGAUGCUUCUUUGUGUAAUAGUGUACCAGUGCAGGUGGUGUGAGGGGGUGGUAGAGAGACGGGCCACAGUCAGAGUGAAAGUGGGAGACAGCAUCUCUUUUCCUGUCUCGCCUGAAUCCAACCAAAGCUACAAUGUUGACCUAAUUUUCAAGACAAUUAGAAUAGUUUUCUGGAGUCCUCAAACAUUAUUUCAUGUCCAUAAACAAUAUAAGGGAAGGAUCUGUCACGUUUCAGGUCUGUCUCACCAUGUUGUAUGUUGAUUUAUGUUUAUUCAUGUUGUCUUAGUCACGUAGUGUCUUAUCAUGUAUUAUGUUGUCUAGGUUCGUCAUGUUGUUUAGUUAUGUUUCGUUACGAUUUAUUUUCUUGUCAUGUUUAGUUAUGUCUCGUUACGAUUUAUUUUCUUGUCAUGUCUAGUUAUGUUAUCGUACGAUUUUAUUACCUGGUUAUGUUGAGUGAUUAUCGUCUUAGUUUCGCUUUGUGUUAUGUUUCGAUGCAUGUUUAUUGUUACGUUAACUGGUCGUUGUUAUGCAUACACUUUUACAUGUUUUUCCACAAACCUUGCGUUCCGCCUUUUCUCUCUCUCGUUCUGUCCUUCACUCCCCUAAUGUUUCUAUUUGUCUAUUUACUAAAACUACUAACGCUAGAUCAGGAUUGGGUAGAAACUAACAAGACUAAUCAUGUGUUCAUGUUACCUUACGUUUCUCGUGCAUGUCAUUUACUAAUUUACUAAUGCUAGGGCAGGAUAGGUUUAUUACUAACGAUUACUAAUCUCCUUGUUAAACUUGUCAUCCAUCGCACCUGUUUUCCAUUUCCUUGCUACGCUCUAACUAAUUGUCUACACCUGUCUACACCUGCAUUUAUAGCCCAGUCGCGCUACUGUUCACUGCGAAAUUGUCUGCCUCUGUUUUCCACGCAACUCUUGAGCAUUAUUUACUGUUUGAUUACACGUUACGAUCCACGCCUGUUUACUGACCAUCGAUUAUUGAUUUCUGUUUUGUGACCUUCGUUUGUUUAUUGACUACGUCCCCGCCUACCGUUUUUGUACUUUUACCCCGCUGAUUGUUUCAUGGUUUCGACUCCCGCUUCGCCCACGACUACGCCUCUGCCUGCCGUCCGCCUGUUCAUCUGCCCCGCUGACAGCUCUCCUGCUACCGGACCUCCCUGCACGCCUACCGACUACGAGAUUGCCUCUUCCCUCGGCACCGUGCUUUUUGUUUGUUUUGUAUUUGUUUGGCUGGAUCUUCGUGUAUGGACUUUGCUUGUAUUGACUACGCUCCUGGGACUCGUCCCGAAUAAAGCCCUAACGGGACUUUAUUUUA